RNAcentral lists this ribosomal RNA (384 nucleotides) under uncultured bacterium. RNAcentral describes it as "bacterial SSU rRNA". It matches the Rfam family "Bacterial small subunit ribosomal RNA", at positions 28 to 416 of the family's 1533-position model. The record is from RNAcentral.
GACGAACGCUGGCGGCGUGCUUAACACAUGCAAGUCGAGCGGUAAGGCCCUUUGGGGUACACGAGCGGCGAACGGGUGAGUAACACGUGAGUAAUCUGCCUUUGGCUUGGGAAUAACUUCGGGAAAUCGGGGCUAAUGCCUGAUGUUUACUGUCUGCUGCAUGGUGGGUGGUGGAAAGAUUUUUUGGCCAGGGAUGAGCUCGCGGUCUAUCAGCUUGUUGGUGGGGUAAUGGCUACCAAGGCUUUGACGGGUAGCCGGCCUGAGAGGGUGUUCGGCCACACUGGGGACUGAGACACGGCCCAGACUCCUACGGGAGGCAGCAGUGGGGAAUAUUGCGCAAUGGGCGUAAGCCUGACGCAGCGACGCCGCGUGGGGAUGAAGGCC